AGGAUUGUGCAGAGACAACUCAAUCUUACAAGCAGGACAACUUAGACUUUGAACAUCUAGAAAUGGGUGGUGAUUCUUUCUCUAUCCCGUUUAUUACAAGGGGUCAAGACUAUAGUUUCAGCUAUGGAUCACCUGUAACUGGUGAAGGUCAAGAGGAGCAAUCCCCUACAUUUACAUCAUUUUCUUCAUUGCUAGCCGACAACGAUACUCCAUGCUCUGCAUCAGGAGGUUUCUCUUUUAGCAACUGUGAUGAAUCCGGUGCAACAGAGUUCCCAACCACAAUCCCAUCAAUGUUAAGCUUUACCUUCUUCGGUCCAAAUUCUGCACUUGAGAAAGGAGAGGUUGCCUUUGGAUUUAACCCCAUUGAGUCAAAUAUGGAUUCAAUUCAUGGAGAGUCCACCACAGAAAAGCCAUUUGUAUUGCCAGACACAUCUUCUGUGAAACGUGGAGUAGGAGAAAUAAUGCAAAGGUCGGAAUUUCGACGAGAAGGAAUCAAUGGGUCAAGGGUUUCCAGCAUCCACAGCAGAAGGAAUCACACCAUUGGACUUGGCGAGCUUGAUCAACUUAAUAUCAUAGUCACUGAGUCAAUCAUCCGCUGGGCAUCAUGUACACAAAUCCCAACUGCCCCAUCACUUAGAUU
Molecule: unclassified non-coding RNA, 640 nt
Filed under: Hevea brasiliensis (rubber tree)
Lineage: Eukaryota; Viridiplantae; Streptophyta; Magnoliopsida; Malpighiales; Euphorbiaceae
Source: RNAcentral